CUGCAUUUGGGUCAUCAUCCGUACUAGGAAUCAACUUUGACCGUUUGACUGAAUCUGGCCAGACAGUAUAUCCAUACACUUCAGAAAUCAUCCGGCUGCUUCUGUCCUCUUUCAGAUAAUCGCUAAACACCAGAUUCUCCGAUCAUUCACCAAUGUUGUCCUCUGUGGACGUCCAGGACUUUUUAUUCCAGAGGAUACUGGAACAUUGAUUAGUAAAUUAUUUUCUUAUCAGCCCAAUGUCAGUCAGAUUAAACCACAGAUAUCCCUCCAUGGCCACUAUUGCCACCAUCAAACUGCCAAGAGUUGCAGUUGUUUGUUUGGCAGCUCAGAGAGGUGCAGCUUGGCCAAAUUGGUCAGGGAAAAAGGCCCUGGCCAUCAUCUAGAUCAUUUAGCAGGUCAGCCUGUUAGGCUUCUAACACAACGAGUGUGAAAUGCUCCACCAGCUUGACCAUUUAAAUAUAAUGUGGUACACAGCAUUUUAUAUGUUGUUUCGGUCACCGAAAGAUAGCCUGCAAGAUAAAAUUAGACAAAAUACCUGUUUAUAUGAAAUUAUUUUUAUUUAUUUAUUUAACUCAUUUAGCACUUCAAAUAUUCAAACAGUCACUGAACUGAGGAAACAGCUCUGACUCAGACUGAAGGACAAAUGUGAUAUGUGAAUUCAUGGAUGCACUGAAUAAAUGGGUAUUAUGAACUUU
This is a long non-coding RNA of Carassius gibelio (silver crucian carp), 695 nucleotides long. RefSeq lists it as uncharacterized. NCBI's taxonomy places the organism in Eukaryota, Metazoa, Chordata, Actinopteri, Cypriniformes, Cyprinidae. The record is from RefSeq and is a predicted model, not a curated record. The transcript has 2 exons.